GAUGAAGAACGUAGCGAAAUGCGAUACGUAAUGUGAAUUGCAGAAUUCAGUGAAUCAUCGAGUCUUAGAACGCACAUUGCGCCCCCUGGUAUUCCGGGGGGCAUGCCUGUCCGAGCGUCAUUGCUGCCCUCAAGCACGGCUUGUGUGUUGGGCCUCCGUCCUCCUCCCGGGGGACGGGCCCGAAAGGCAGCGGCGGCACCGCGUCCGGUCCUCGAGCGUAUGGGGCUUCGUCACCCGCUCUUGUAGGCCCGGCCGGCGCUUGCCGACACAUCAAUCUUUUUUCCAGGUUGACCUCGGAUCAGGUAGGGAUACCCGCUGAACUUAAGCAUAUCAAUAAGCGGAGGA
RNAcentral lists this unclassified non-coding RNA (345 nucleotides) under soil metagenome. RNAcentral describes it as "partial contains 5.8S ribosomal RNA, internal transcribed spacer 2, and large subunit ribosomal RNA". The stretch from base 1 to 120 matches the Rfam family "5.8S ribosomal RNA", at positions 35 to 154 of the family's 154-position model. The record is from RNAcentral.